UGGGGAAUUUUCCGCAAUGGGCGAAAGCCUGACGGAGCAAUACCGCGUGAGGGAGGAAGGCUUUUGGGUUGUAAACCUCUUUUCUUAGGGAAGAAGAAAGUGACGGUACCUAAGGAAUCAGCAUCGGCUAACUCCGUGCCAGCAGCCGCGGUAAUACGGAGGGGGCGAGCGUUGUUCGGAAUUACUGGGCGUAAAGGGCGCGUAGGCGGUCCGUUGCGUUAGGUGUGAAAGCCCUGGGCUCAACCUGGGAGGUGCACUUAAUACGGGCGGGCUUGAAUCCGGCAGAGGAUGGUGGAAUUCCCAGUGUAGAGGUGAAAUUCGUAGAUAUUGGGAAGAACACCGAUGGCGAAGGCAGCCAUCUGGGCCGGGAUUGACGCUGAGGCGCGAAAGCGUGGGGAGCAAACAGGAUUAGAUACCCGCGUAGUCC
This 427-nucleotide ribosomal RNA is filed under the name uncultured prokaryote. RNAcentral describes it as "bacterial SSU rRNA". It matches the Rfam family "Bacterial small subunit ribosomal RNA", at positions 355 to 796 of the family's 1533-position model. The record is from RNAcentral.